This 467-nucleotide ribosomal RNA is filed under the name uncultured bacterium. RNAcentral's name for it is "partial 16S ribosomal RNA". It matches the Rfam family "Bacterial small subunit ribosomal RNA", at positions 28 to 507 of the family's 1533-position model. The record is from RNAcentral.
GACGAACGCUGGCGGCGUGCUUAACACAUGCAAGUCGAACGGAAAGGCCUCUUUCGGGGGGUACUCGAGUGGCGAACGGGUGAGUAACACGUGAGUAACCUGCCCAUGACUUUGGGAUAACUUCAGGAAACUGGGGCUAAUACCGGAUAGGAGCUCCUGCUGCAUGGUGGGGGUUGGAAAGUUUCGGCGGUUGGGGAUGGACUCGCGGCUUAUCAGCUUGUUGGUGGGGUAGUGGCUUACCAAGGCUUUGACGGGUAGCCGGCCUGAGAGGGUGACCGGCCACAUUGGGACUGAGAUACGGCCCAGACUCCUACGGGAGGCAGCAGUGGGGAAUAUUGCACAAUGGGUGGAAGCCUGAUGCAGCAACGCCGUGUGCGGGAUGACGGCCUUCGGGUUGUAAACCGCUUUCGCUCAUGACGAAGCUUUGUGUGACGGUAGUGGGUAAAGAAGCACCGGCUAACUACGUG